This 74-nucleotide transfer RNA is filed under the name Camelus bactrianus (Bactrian camel). It matches the Rfam family "tRNA". Rfam says of the family: Transfer RNA (tRNA) molecules are approximately 80 nucleotides in length. Their secondary structure includes four short double-helical elements and three loops (D, anti-codon, and T loops). Lineage: Eukaryota; Metazoa; Chordata; Mammalia; Artiodactyla; Camelidae. The record is from Rfam by way of RNAcentral. RNAcentral also lists the same sequence under 1 other name.
GAGGGUAUAGCUCAAAGUGGUAGAGCACAUGCUUAGCAUACACAAGGUCCUGGGUUCAAUCCCCAGUACCUCCU